ACAACGGCAGUGAAGAGAAGAGUACAUUUACAGGUACGUUACAGAGAGCUUCGGCAGGUGAAAGGAAGCACGGGGAAGUAAAUGGAAGAUGGUCUCGGAGCCUCGCACCGACUGGGGAUAAUUCUCCACAGGCUGCGAUGGGAGCGCCCAUUACAGCGCCAGGGUAUAAGGAAGAUUCCCGUACCCGCAGAGGUCUUUGCCGCAAGGCGGAGAUAAAGUAAGGUGGUACCGUGAGGCAUAUGCCCUCGCCCUUAUG
RNAcentral lists this non-coding RNA (256 nucleotides) under Blautia sp. RNAcentral describes it as "T-box sequence". It matches the Rfam family "T-box leader". From Rfam's summary of the family: Uncharged tRNA acts as the effector for transcription antitermination of genes in the T-box leader family. The record is from RNAcentral. Lineage: Bacteria; Bacillati; Bacillota; Clostridia; Lachnospirales; Lachnospiraceae.